UACGAAGGGUGCAAGCGUUACUCGGAAUACUGGGCGUAAAGCGUGCGCAGGCGGUUUUGUAAGUCAGAUGUGAAAUCCCCGGGCUUAACCUGGGAAUGGCAUUUGGGACUGCAAGGCUGGAGUACGGCAGAGGAGACUGGAAUUCCUGGUGUAGCAGUGAAAUGCGUAGAGAGUCAGGAGGAAUACCGAUGGCGAAGGCAGGUCUCUGGGCUGAUACUGACGCUCAUGCACGAAAGCGUGGGGAGCAACAGG
Molecule: ribosomal RNA, 252 nt
Filed under: uncultured bacterium
Lineage: Bacteria
Description: partial 16S ribosomal RNA
Rfam family: Bacterial small subunit ribosomal RNA
Source: RNAcentral